CGGCGGACGGGUGAGUAACGCGUGGGCUACCUGCCUCAUACAGGGGGAUAACAGUUAGAAAUGACUGCUAAUACCGCAUAAGCGCACAGGACCGCAUGGUGUAGUGUGAAAAACUCCGGUGGUAUGAGAUGGACCCGCGUCUGAUUAGGUAGUUGGUGGGGUAAAGGCCUACCAAGCCGACGAUCAGUAGCCGACCUGAGAGGGUGACCGGCCACAUUGGGACUGAGACACGGCCCAAACUCCUACGGGAGGCAGCAUG
RNAcentral lists this ribosomal RNA (259 nucleotides) under uncultured bacterium. RNAcentral's name for it is "partial 16S ribosomal RNA". It matches the Rfam family "Bacterial small subunit ribosomal RNA", at positions 96 to 353 of the family's 1533-position model. The record is from RNAcentral.